This 30-nucleotide non-coding RNA is filed under the name Rattus norvegicus (Norway rat). The record is from RNAcentral. Lineage: Eukaryota; Metazoa; Chordata; Mammalia; Rodentia; Muridae.
UCCCAUGUGUCAGCAGCAGCACAUCGAAGA